UACGUAGGGUCCGAGCGUUGUCCGGAAUUAUUGGGCGUAAAGAGCUCGUAGGCGGUUUGUCGCGUCUGCUGUGAAAUCCCGAGGCUCAACCUCGGGCCUGCAGUGGGUACGGGCAGACUGGAGUGCGGUAGGGGAGAAUGGAAUUCCUGGUGUAGCGGUGGAAUGCGCAGAUAUCAGGAGGAACACCGGUGGCGAAGGCGGGUCUCUGGGCAGUAACUGACGCUGAGGAGCGAAAGCGUGGGGAGCGAACAGG
This 253-nucleotide ribosomal RNA is filed under the name uncultured bacterium. RNAcentral describes it as "partial 16S ribosomal RNA". It matches the Rfam family "Bacterial small subunit ribosomal RNA", at positions 524 to 776 of the family's 1533-position model. The record is from RNAcentral.